AAAAAUGUUUACAUGCCGUUCUUGCACAUCUUCCAGGAUUACUGCUAAUUGUUUUGUUAGGACAGGUUUACUGGUGGAGCUAUUUUGUGUUUUUGUGUAUUGUCCUACACUGUCCUGUGUUGUCCUGCACUGUCUUGUGUUGUCUGUUUGCACCAGUUGCACACAUGCACUUUAUGUGGAGAGGAUCUGUCUACUAGUUCUUGGCACUGUGUUUUUUGUUCUCUUUCUGUGACUGUUAUUUUAUGUAGCACCAGGGUUCUGGAGGAACGUUGUUUCAUUUCACUAUGUACUGCAUCAGCUAUAUAUGGUUGAAAUGACAAUAACUAUAGCUGUUCUGCCGUGUGAACUGGAGAGUGUAGGAACUGACUAUCAAGACUGUAUAUUAAGUGGGAAAAUGAAGAUGAGAUUGUGUUUGAGCGAGAGGUUACAGAGGCGUAUCAGGGUUAUGGAUAUGAGGGCCGUGUGGAUGUUCCUGAGGAAGAGCUUCGUAAGAGGAACUGUUCUUUGGUGUUACGCAAUCUGACACUUAAUGAUUCACGAGCAUCCAGACAGUGAGACGCACCAAGAGAUCUGACAAAAAAAAAAGUACAGGAGAUCAGUCCUGUUUCUCUCUCAGUCAGGGGUAAGUGAGUUAUUAUCAGUAGAACACACACUGAACAUUACACACAGCAGAAACCAAAGCUGCAGAUCUGAAAUCUGUGGAAAGACACUAAACGUCCUGUAGAACAAAAGCAGCUCAUGUGUCCAAUGUGAGCAUAAUGUCAGUGUUUUCAGUACUAGAGGAGAAAUUGUGCACUGAACAGCUCAUUUUAAAGCUCUUCAUGUGUGUUAGAUGAUCCAGGAGAACACAGAACACCUGAGCAUCUUUAUAUUAGUGUUUCAUCACACACUUGGAGAUUCCCUCUGCCAUCUUUAAAUGGAAAUCAUUUUCAUGACACGAGUUUGCAGUAGAGCUGGAAAUCAGAAAGUCUUUACCCCAGACAGCAGGAACAGUGUAGCACUAAUGAUCUUCUUGCUGAUUUCUACACUUUAUUACCUUUAAAAUACAAUUUCACUGCUUUUCACUGCUUAUGAAAAUAUGAUCUUCUCUAUUAUACAGUAAUCACACUAGUUAUAGUAUCAGUAAUGUGAAAGAUUGCAGAGAUGAUUCUUAGUGAUUAGUACUGAUCCUGAUCUACACGUGAUCCUGAUCUACACGUGAUCCUGAUCUACACUUACACAGUAAAUCACUUUAGUAGCAGUGAGAGAGGAAACACAAAGAGCUCUGAUUGGACCAGGAUGAUUCAAUAUUAUUUUCCUCUUACAGAAAAACCUCCUGAUCUGAGAUUAUAUGAAGUGCCGAGUCCCACAGAUGAGAUACAAUUGUGUUUUUCAUUAUCUGCACAUUUCAUUUUUUAUACAACCAGCUGGGGGGGCGCCAGUGAGCACCAUCUGCCCUGCUGCCCUCGCCCUCACCCAUUUGAAUUAUUUACCUGUUUUUCUGCUUUAGUUUAAUAUACAGUAAAUGUUUACAUCCUCGAAUUCAGACAAUUUUGCAAUGAUUAUUAAAUGUGUUUGGAGCAUUGUGGUAGGAGGGUGGAGUCAUGGGCGGGUGAAAGUAGGAAUCUCACCUAGGGUGCCAACAGGACUAGAAACAGCUCUGCUUCCAGGACUCCUUGUUGUUCUCUAUGCUAAAGAUAGUUUCUAAUAAUGUUUGUUGUAUUUUUGGGAUCAUUGUUCUGCUGCAGAAUAAAUUGGGGCCAAUCAGACGCCUCCAUGAUGGUACUGCAUGAUGGAGAAAUAUCUGCCUGUAUAUCUCAGCACUGAGGGCACCAUUUUUCCUCACCACAUCUCAGACUCCAUUUACAGAAAUGCAGCUCCAAACUUGCUUCACACUCAUUAUUGUACUGCUCUUUAGCAAACAAUGUUUUUCUGCUACAGCUAAAUAUUUCAGACUUUCUGACCAGAGUUCAGAGCCCCUGCGGCCAUUUUCGACAUUACCAUGUUUCCUCUGUGCCAUGAAACUGUCUUCCACAAGUUCAUGUUAUUAGCAGAAUUUAGCAGUUUAUUUAUUUAGUUUAAAGCCCCUAGUCAGCAGUUUCGGUUUCAGUUGGUGACUGUAUUAUAGCCUACAUAUGAAAUUGAUAAUCAUUAGCACCUGGUUGGUAGAACUGGUUAAUUACACACCUGAUUCUGAUCCUACAAAAUCCCUGACUUUGAGUAUGUGAACAAAAAAAAGAAAAGCAGACCCACCAAAUAGUAAUUUGAUUUCUCUUCUGUUGAUUUACUUUCUAUUGUGUUCAUUAUUAAAAAUGAAUUAUUACUACUUUCAUUUUUAUUAAAUAUGACCCUAACCCUAACCCUGACAUGUUUUAUUACUCACACAUGAAAGUGUCACGUAUCGCUACCUUUAUAAGUGUGUGUUUAACAACAACAUAAGACUUGUACAUUUUCAUAUGUAAUACCACAGAACAGGAUUCUGGAUCACAGAACACAGAAGUGUAUCACUGUGUGUUUACGUUUCAGAUAAUGAACUUCAUGACGUUUACUCAUCUGAACACGUGUAUCCCUUCUGGCUUAUACUCCUACUGUGUGUGUGUUCAGUCUCUGUUCUUAUAAACAUCGUGUGCAUGUGUGUGUGCUGUUGCAGGAAACAAGAUAACUGUAAUAUCAUCAGUGACUGGAAUGAGAAGAAAGUCCUGCUGCAAGACACUGCUGAUUGGACCUGUGUGACCUACAUGAGCAGCUCCUGAUGGCCCAGAAGAUAUUUAACCUCACAAAGAAUCAUUUUUAUGUAGAAUUUUCAGAAUUAAUUGUGGUCAGUUUUCAUAUAAAGAUGUUUGUAUAUUGGAUUUUUAUUUGAAGCUGUUUGAUGUCCUGGUCUGAGUCUGUGGUUCAGACCAUCACCAGUAGGAUAUGUCUAUGUUCAGUUGGAACCCAGAGGGAUUAAUCCUCUUAUAUAAGUAUAUAAGUACCAGAGUUUACUUUUACUGAUAAUGUUUUCACAUCAACCUCAUACUGUUCUCUGCUUACGUUUCUUCAGUUCCAUCUCAUCUCCAGAAAAUAAACAGAGAAAAUGAA
Silurus meridionalis is the source of this 3060-nucleotide long non-coding RNA. RefSeq lists it as uncharacterized. The transcript is spliced from 3 exons. The record is from RefSeq and is a predicted model, not a curated record. NCBI's taxonomy places the organism in Eukaryota, Metazoa, Chordata, Actinopteri, Siluriformes, Siluridae.